This 182-nucleotide long non-coding RNA is filed under the name Ictidomys tridecemlineatus (thirteen-lined ground squirrel). RNAcentral's name for it is "lncRNA (ENSSTOG00000029494.1)". The record is from RNAcentral. Lineage: Eukaryota; Metazoa; Chordata; Mammalia; Rodentia; Sciuridae.
CCCAGAGCAGAAUGUUUACCCAGGUGACCAGGAGAACAGCUUUAUCUUGUCUUCAUUUUCCUGUUUUGCUGCCACAUUCAGUACCAGAACCUCAGGAGCCUACAGGUGGAGCUCAAAUUGGAGACCCAUGUGUCACCCGUCCUGCAGUAAGCCAGCUCAGAGCCCUCCCAUCAAAGCAGGAG